UACAGGGGGGGCAAGCGUUGUUCGGAAUUACUGGGCGUAAAGGGCUCGUAGGUGGCCAACUAAGUCAGACGUGAAAUCCCUCAGCUUAACUGGGGAACUGCGUCUGAUACUGGAUGGCUUGAGUUUGGGAGAGGGAUGCGGAAUUCCAGGUGUAGCGGUGAAAUGCGUAGAUAUCUGGAGGAACACCGGUGGCGAAAGCGGCUCACUGGACCGUAACUGACGCUAAUGUGCGAAAGCUAGGGGAGCAAACGGG
RNAcentral lists this ribosomal RNA (253 nucleotides) under uncultured bacterium. Its description in RNAcentral is "partial 16S ribosomal RNA". It matches the Rfam family "Bacterial small subunit ribosomal RNA", at positions 524 to 776 of the family's 1533-position model. The record is from RNAcentral.